RNAcentral lists this transfer RNA (59 nucleotides) under Phrynocephalus arabicus (Arabian toadhead agama). Its description in RNAcentral is "tRNA-Cys". Lineage: Eukaryota; Metazoa; Chordata; Lepidosauria; Squamata; Agamidae. The record is from RNAcentral.
GACCUGAGUGAUGCUAAAUUGCAAGUUUAGUUUAGGAAAUGUAAGUUUUCGUAGGUCUA